The sequence is a small nucleolar RNA, 165 nucleotides long. It matches the Rfam family "Small nucleolar RNA snR8".
GUGAUACGAAAUUUAUAGCCUUCUAUUCACUGUGCCAUCUUAGUAUCCGUAGAUGAUCAGAGGGGAAAAGAACGGCUAGACUAAUAUUGGCGCGAGCGUCCUCAUACUGUCCGAAUCGAAUAGCAUUGUCUGGGUUCGGUCGGUAACUGCGCAAGCGCUACAAAC